GCACUUAAUCAAAUCAAAAGGAGCUGAAGGUUUUAGCCUUUUUUAAGAGGCUUUCAGCCCAGCAGCUAAGGAUCAAUCUCUAAAUGCUGGAGUAAUCGUCUAUAUCCUUUUACUCCUUUUGAUGUUCAAGAGCAAUAUGCUGCUAUGCUGACAGACAUACCAGCAGAUCUGAAAUUGGAGAAAAACAACAAUAUAAGCACAAGCAGUUUAGCAGUUCCUCCUGAGGGCGCAGUCAAUUUUGGUCAAAACCAUUUAUCUAGUGACCCAGACUCCUCUCUGUCUCCUUACAAGUUCUCUCUUACCACUAUAAACAAGGUAAAAAAUGGGAGGGAGAGUUUUAUACAGGUCUCCGAAACAGAGACCUUUUAAUCCUUUUCAGCUUUGAGAUCACAUUGGAAUAAUCUUCUGAAUCACUAAAGGUCCCUCACCAUAGAGCUAAACAAGAUCACAAGGGUGAACCCUGGAAAAAGGUCUAGAGUUGUUGUUACUCUCUGAAAUAGAUUCAGCAAUCUCUUGGGCAAGCUAUUCAGUGAGCAAACCAGAUGGGAUUGCAUCCAGAAUCUGACAUUUCAUUCGGUGACAGCAGAUUAUGUUUCCGGGCGGGUACCUGUCUGUUCAGCAAAGCUGCAGUUUUGAACGGGGGGAAGCAAUCCUGAAAAACAUAGCCCCAGGAAUGAUGCCUUGGAGACCUUCAGAUCAGAACACAGCGAGGUGGGAGAAGGAUAAAAAGAGCUCCUUUCAUUGCCGUGUGGAGAAUGGGGAGAGAGAAGGAGGCAAAGAAACUAAGAGAUACGGUAGAUAGCUGGUGGGAAAGUUUUCCUGAAAUGUCAGCCUGUAACGUACCUCGACACCGUGUCAUGAGAGGGCUCGAGGCACAAUGUUGGCUGCCAGUUCUUUCCUACAGAACAAUUUGUUUGACAUGGAGAACACAAACAAACUUCUCACAGACUUUCCCACCUUCCCUGGCACUUCAAACAAUACGAGCUUUUCAUGCUGUUUACUCAGAAAAAUGUAGCCGAGAUCCAGCAGGUGGUUUUCCACAGCUUCACACAGGAGAGGAGUCGCAGCGCUGAGAACUAAAAGCGGGAUGAUCUUCUUCUGAGGCAGCAGAGCGACGUGUCUUCUGACUGAAGGAGACACAGUGAUGGUCAGCAGUCCUGAUCCAAAGUAGCUCACACACACUUCUCCACACUUGGUACUUUUUAGUACAAAAUUCAGCAGGUUUGGAUAAUUUCCUUUGCUCCCCUCUUCGGCCUCGCCCUUUCCAUCUAAGGCCACAAUUUUCAGGCCAUUAGCUUGAAAGACUCUAUAGUAGACCUAACAUUUACAGCAUCCCUUGUGGUAUAUCUAGACAAGACAGCCCUCCCUUCAGAAUCUGUAAUCUCUCACUUCAGACCUUAUAUUUGAAGCCCUUGAUUCACUGUGGUUAAAAAAAAAAAAAAAAAAAAAACAUUGAAGCAAAAUGAAUUCUUUGGCAAUAUGGAAACCCACAGGCUUGUGGC
RNAcentral lists this long non-coding RNA (1502 nucleotides) under Anas platyrhynchos platyrhynchos (common mallard). Its description in RNAcentral is "lncRNA (ENSAPLG00000020217.1)". The record is from RNAcentral. Lineage: Eukaryota; Metazoa; Chordata; Aves; Anseriformes; Anatidae.